CUUCUUGUUCUGUUCUUCCUUCUUUUCCAACUGGUGGUGGUACAAGGGUUUGGAAGAGAGAGAGAGAAGCCACUAUGUGGACUCCAAGUGCUCUUUGGUUUAUAGAAAAAAAUCUGAACAAUAUUCACAAAUGUCAGAAAACUUCUGUUUUGAAGCACUGAAAGUAAACAUAGGUAAGGCCAAAGGUGGUCUCUGGGCAAUUCUAAGCCAUCAUCCAUGUUGUGCUAGGCUCUGUCACAUCAUUCCCAAGUUAUUGUCUUCUACUUUGUGUCAAGCAAAAAGAGGAAAAAAGCUACAUGAGAGAGACAUGCCAGAGACUGCAGAGCUGCAGAGACAAUUCAAAAGUGGGAUCAAUCAUAAAACUCCUACUGCUUGCAUGACAGUGAUAUGACUCUCCUUUCUUACCCCCCACAGAAGUACGGGGAAUGGGAGAUGGAGGUUACGGUCUGUUUGUUACAGAUGGACUUUGCCACUGCUUCUUCUCAGGAGGAGGCUUCCUCACACUUCCCAGUGCUACACUGUGUGGUCCCUCCUAUGGGAGACAGUCCCUCACGAACUUCUCCAAGACAGAAUAGACCUUCAGGUACCAACUGCUCCAGUCUGAGUCCAUCAAAGAGUCACAAGUUCUGACAGCAAACCUGCUCUGGCAUGGACUCCUCUCUCCCCACAGGCUCCCAGGUCCUGCCAGGAACUUACUCCACUGUGAGCUUCCCAUGGAAUCACAGAUAACUAAUCCUUUAAGUGCAUGGGAAAACACUUAAUUUGAAGUGCUUUGUUCUUGAUUUGAAUCCUGCCUUUGGAACCUAUGAUGAUGACUGACUGGAAAAGCCUUUAAAUAUACAAUGUGUUAAAGCUGUUCACAGGAUUUUAAGAAUCUCAGAAGAUUAAUCAAUGAAAAAAAAAAAAGUUUCUGAUUCCCCCAAAGGUUUGGUGAUAGCUUACUGAAGUUAAUGAAAGUAUUGCUGUUUAGCAUUUCUUCUUGAUUUGCAAAAAAAAUGACCAUUUUCUACUAUAAGCUUGACCAGAUAGGGAGUUACUUUUAAUUAGGUAGAUCAGGAGGCAUGUAAAUAGGAAAUCUAUCAAGAAACAGAAUGACUUCUACUUAGAAUACACAGUAGAAGACUGUCUUGGUGUUUAUGGGUUGUGAUCUUGUUUAAUUGUUGCAAACAGAUAAGGUGAUUUACUGAGAAACCAUAUUAUUACAAGUCACAAUAGUUUGUAGGAACUAAAAUGUUAAGCCUUAGUGAGAGUAUUUUCUCAUGUCCAUGACAUAUUCUGGAGAACAGCAAGUAAAUUUAAGAACCAUUUAUAACCUAUUCUUAACAGGUCAUUUUGACAGAGUAUUGAAAAUAUGAACACGCAGUUCAGAACUGGUCAGAAAUGGAAUAAAAGAUUCUAUUUUUCUCACUCAUCUCAAAAUUCAUUACUAGAUUUUUUUUUUUUUAAUUUUCUUUUUAAUAGCAGCUUGUUUGCUCUAAAAAAUACAGAAAGAGAUGUGGAGGAAGGACUCUUGAAAAUGUCAUCCAUGUUUUGAAAAGGGGAAGCUUUACAUUUUCACUUCCAAAAUCUCAGCUUUAAAAGGAACAUAGUCUGCUGGGUAAGGCAGAAAAUGUUAAAAGCUGACAAAAGAAAUAACUUCAAACAUUACUGAGUUCCAGUUUGUUUUUGAACCUGUGCCUCAGGCUUUCAUUUUAUAUUUAAUGCUGUUUCCUGAGUCUAAUUGUUCCAAAGAAGCAGUGAUGAAAGCUAAAGAAAGAAACCCUGUAACAAUUUUCAAAAUCUGCUUUUGGUGAUAUCUACUGGUUAAAUAAAUCCCUCUCUGUAAAGUUCAUUUGUGGUGAACUCCUGAAGAAACAAGAUGUUUUACAUCCAAAAUGUUCUCACAGAUUACUAGUGGGAACCAUCAAUGAGUUUACUGUUCCUGGACGAGUUUUUGUUCACUUUACUUGCAUUUCCACUUGCACUUUCUUUCCGGCCCUCUGUACACAUUCACAGAGUGAUCUCAGUAUUUUGGAGCAAGUGGUGUAUAGCAAGUAUUCUUGCUCCUUUGCCAGGUUUCUAUUCCAUUUCUGUAGGCAAAGUAGCCAUGCAGAGUCCAUGAAGAGUUUCUGCUGAUGUUGCAGAGGAAAACUUAAACCACAUUUUAAUGGCCAUGUUAUUGAAGACAGCUACACUUUCAUCCAGAGUAUAUGGAGCAAUGAACCCUCAUGGCUUCAAGGUGAAGCACAAAUACUGAUUUCAAUUCUUCAUCCUACUGUUACUUUUCCACUUUUGAGCAAGUUUUGUCUUUGCUUAUCUCUCCAUAAAAUGGGUUAGGACAGGAAUUUCUUGUCAUCAAGGCAUUUUAUGUGGCUAAUUAACUUAUAUUUGUAAUGUCCUUUUAUGGCACUUGUAUGAAAAGCCUUACAUUGCUGUUGUAAUGAGUUCACUCUCUUCCUAUCAACUGCAAAUGAAGCAAUGGCUGUUUUAAUACUGAAACAUAUUGCUACUCUUAAUUAUGGGCUAGAUUAUUAUCACUCUCAGCCCAGCUUGAAGGUACUCUCUUCUUUGAAAUAUCCAUUUCUCAGGUUUGUGCUGUUAGGUUCAGCUAAUUUAUUUUUGUAAUUGGAAAGGAAGUAAGUUUGAGGAGGCAUCACUGUGCUUCAUCUUGCCCAUCAGGACUGAAUAGCUUGUGGUCAUUUGAAUGUGUUAAGUAUCCCGGAGUGCAGCCAGGAAAAGCUCUGUAAAAUGUAAAUUGCAUUGCACUGAAAAUGUAGCAGCUGUUCAUAAGUGAAGAACAGGAAGGAAAGGCAGGUGAGCCUCAACUCAAGGUCUAUGUGUGCUCAGUGCCAUGGGUCUCUAACAGGGCACAAAUCCAUUUCUGACUCCUAGUAUUUACAACAUUCUAUUAUUUUGGUAUCAUUUGGAAGUUAAUUACAGGGCCCAUCAGCUCUUUUGGCUCAACAAUAUUUCAGUGAAAAGCAUUCAGACAUUAUGUUACUGGUUGUAAGGGAUAUUAUCAAGAAAUCAGAGAAGUGUAAUAGUCAAGGGAUUUCUUUGUUAAUAAAGAACUUGAUGAAAAGCAAGCUACUUAACACUAAAAUGAGUUGAAAUAUUGCUGAUGGCAAAUUUUGAAGUUAAUUUGAAAAAAACAAACUUAGAAGACAUUUUCAAGUUUACAGAAUGCCGAAAAUAUGCAGAAAAUUUGUAAAAAUAUAGAUCUCAAGGUAUAGAAUCUGAAGACUUCUGUCAUACAAUUUUAAAAGUCAUAAAUCGGAAACCAUUGUGUUUAAAGUGAAAAAUUCAAUGAAUUAUUCAUAUUGAAAGCCACAUCUAUCCACAGUUGCAUUAGGUCUUAUAAUGAUUGUUUAGAAACUACGUUAGGGAAAAGCUACAGCCUAUGUUUUAUCUGCACUUUGUCCACUGAGAAGACUGGUGUGCCAAGAAAGAGGCUGCUAAUUAUACCAGAUGGUCACCGUGUUGCAUGUUUAGGCAGAGCAGGCCCAAUUGGGCUGGCUUUGGCAGGAUCACACCUAUAGCACACAAUUUUCCAAUGUGAACUGAAAUCUGACUAGAUUCUGUCAGAGUCUUUCACAAUGCAGUAGCUGGAAAUCGACAUACCAUCCUGCAUCUUGCUGAUGAUAACGCAUGACUCAGAGGGACAAACUUUGCCUCAACAGCUAGCAAGGAACUUGUUUCUGUAACAUUUUUUUCCAGCAUCAAGUAUUUGUUCCCCUGCCAACUAAUGUAUAUUUCAGUAGACAUGGUAUUUGUGGGCUGAAUAGAGAUGAGCUCACUUUAUAUUAAUGUUUGCGUUCCCAAAUGAAACAUUCACACAAUAAUGAUAAUGCAGUAUAAGGAAAAUUGUUUCACAUUUGCUUUUCUUUAUGUACUCUGUUCAUGGAUUGUGUGAAGAUUUACAGUGUAUGCAUCCAGCAUGAAGUCAUGCUUCAGUGCCAGUGCAUUUCCUUGAUUCUGCCUACUAUAUUUUUCAAAUGAAUAAUAUAAUGCAUAUAUAUUUUGCCUCAGGAAAACAAAUCCAUCCUCACAAACCCCAGUGAGGAAGGAAAGUGUAUUUUUACUUUAAUAAUUCCAAAUAUAAAUGCUAAAAUAGGGCCAGAUCCCCAAAAAUCAUGAGGGUAUCUUAAACAUCAUGAAAAUAUAAGAAAUUGUAAUACCUUUCAAGAUGUCUUUUUUGUUGUUUUUUUUUUUAAUUUUGAGUAUUAAGAGACACUUGGGAUGCAUUUUCAAACUUUUUUUAAACCUUGGAGUCUAGAAAGUUAUUUUUUGAAAUAAAAACCUCCCAAUACUUAUGUAUACAUUUCAGACAUAAAGUGAAAUUUGAAUAAAUACAUCAUUAUUUAUUUUGACCUUCAUACUAAGACCAUGAUCAUGGCAAGGGGGCUGUCAUAUUUUUGCAGGCAAAUAAAUAUGGCACAUAAUAACCAAACCGGGGAUUUGUAAUGAAAACUCUUUUCAGCAGGACAUGCAAUUCCCUUACAGUCUCUUGGAAAUGCCAACUACAGAUGAGUUCAUUUCACCUUAUCCAAGUUUGUUGUUUGGGAUCUGUAAUGGAAAAGAUUCAUAUCACCUAAUUCUAUCUGUCUUGUAGGUGUCUAGCCUAAAUGAGCUGCUAAGGUUCCUCUUACAGUUAAUGGAGAGUGACAGGAACUUCCAGACUGCAAUUCAUUCCACCUGUCAUAGACGCCUCCUCCUGGGGAAGAGUGAGUGUCUCUGCAGCCUCCACUGAUUUUACAGGAAGUUUGAGACAGCUCAUUCCCACCCUUAUUUUUCACACAGUUGAGGCUGGAAGUGAGGGAACCCAGCACAAAGUCACUAAGAACCACUGCCCCUAGGUGUCAUCUGAGUUCCCAAACUGAACCUGAACCAAACACUGAACAUCACAUACUACUUUGGUACUUGGUAGUUAAAUUGAAUGUAAACUUUUGUGCUUCUAUGCGUUUGACAGCUUAUGAAACAAUUUGGUUUGUAAUACAUUUGCUUAAAUGAAAAUCUGAUUAAUUCCACUGUACUGAGUUAUUAGAACUAAUAGGUUUUGUUACAUGUGUUGCAAUUUAAGCAUUGUAAUUAUUCAGAGCUGAGUGAAUAUCAUAAAACAUUUGUCAUGAAUAUUUGCACACAUUUUAAACAAAAUUGUCCUUGACAGUGUUUGCAACAGUUAAAUAUUUGAUUUUCAUGUAUAUUUGGGUGAGAUAAUUUUCUUUUCAUGAAUAUCAGCAGAGAGGGGAUCUCACAUGAAAUUUCACACAAAUAUUUAUUUAAGUAAAUAGUUGUACCUGCAAUAUACUUGCCAGCAUCUUUGAGAAUCAAUGAGGUGAAUGGUCAUGUGACUGGCAAAGCAGUUUGAAAUGUAUUAAUAAUAACUUCUGCAGACAUCGCCAGGAAGAAGAUGGGAAUGAGAAUCAUUGUCUAGCAUGAUAUCUCAAUCAUCCAUUAUUUCCACAUACAAGGAUACAACUUUAGACAUCUUAGAUUCAUCUACCACUGGAACAUCCAUAUUAUGCACAAGUACACUGGGUUCCUGUACUGCAUUUGUACUUGCAUCUCUCCUGUUGCCUGGAGCAAGAUUUGCAGUGUUUCCAUUCGAGUUGAAGAGAGUGUGGGAAAGAUUGAACAUGUCAAAGAAUGAUCGCCUCUGAUACCAGUCUUUUACAUGGCACAAUGCUUGAUAUUCAUCCUGACAAGCUUUGUAUUUCUGUGGCACUGGUGUUUGCACCUAACUUUGCCUACUCUCUUUGAAGUGAACAGAGAAAAUUGAUUAUCAUACCCAAACCUACAGUGGAAGUCAGGAAGGAGUGAGUUAUGUUUGGUGUAUCUACACUACAAGUGUUCCUCUACUUCAUCCAAUAACUCAGCUUUCCUCUUGCUCUUAGAACCUGUUACUUUCUUCAUCUAAACCAGCUAAAUGGCCUUGAGCUUGCUCUCUUCUAAGGUGGCACACAAGGGUCAGUAAGCUUCAGAGGCAAUUUUCUAUAAGCAAUAUAGGUGGUUGUCCCAGCUCCCAAGCCCAAUAGGAAAGGUGUCAUAACUCCCAAAUCAUUUUGCAGAUUGUAGACCAUAUACCAUUGUUCUCCUGAUAUUAAAAUACCAUUCCCUGUGACACAGUCACUGUGUCAUUGCAGUCACCUUGAAUUCAAAAAAAAUGAAUAUGAAUGAUCGCAGUGUUCUAGGGUCAAGUGCUCUAGUGUGUGGAAGCAGACUGGUUCUGCUAAAGUGGGCAGCCCUGAGCACUGAGGACAUGACAUCGUCUUGCAUCGAAGUACAACACUAUUUAGCUGCAUAAAUGGACCUAUUACUUCCCACUUUUAAUAAAGGCCUUCUAGGCAUCUACAUUAUUAAUAUCUAAAGAUAGGUGGGAUAACUUCUCCUUGACUUGGAUGAUAUCUUUCAUUUUCUGCCUUUUCAAGGGGAAAAAGACAGCUAAGAAGAAGAUCAGGCCGGUGGGAUGCUCCAGCAUCUGUUGAGUGAGGAAUGCACUGGCAGUUUCUCAGGACUAAAGAGAGCAAGUGUGUGAAUCUAAUGCCUGCUGCUCAUUGAGUUAGUGCCUGGACCAAUAAACCUCCUGUUAAAAUGAGCCUGCUGUGACUGUUUUGUUGGUAUUUUUAAUUUAAACAAUAGCUAAUUAAAUAUGAAAGCAAUUAGUAUUUCUGUUCAAACAGCUGUCAUGUAAUGUCUGGUGCUGCAGUUAUAAUUCCUUAGCAGUAUUGCAAAUUGUUUAGAAGAAAUGGCUUUUUGGGAGUGGAAGAGGAAAUAGGGCAGUAUUUUCUAUGGAUUUUGAAAACCACUGGCAGGUGCAUUUUGCUUUUGCAGCUUCAAUUUGGAAGCAUGUGGGAUGAUUAGAAACAUAAAUAUCUUUUGGAACUUUAGGCAGCAUUAAAGUAUACAAUAGGCAGAUGCUGUCUUCCAGCUUUUUUAACAGUGGAAGAUUAUCCUAUGCAGGGUCUCAAAACCUCAGUGGAGAGGGAAAGUGUUAUAGUCUUCCUCCGUCUUUGAGGUUCUUCAGACAGCCUAGUUUGAUGACAGUAAAAAAAAUGAGAACAAGUAAGGAACUGGUGAGGCCCAAAAUCACCUGGAUUUCUUGUUCUCUUGGCAGCAGAUUGUAGUUUACAUGAGGAAAAGCUAAGAUAUUCUUAGCUUUCCUUCACUUCCUACCUUACACUAUAAGACAGUAAAGCCAGGAAGGCUCUCCAGUGAUUUUGGUUUAAUGAAGACACCCUGCCAGUGACAGGAUGGGCAGUGGCCUAGAUGUAGGCAAUGAAUGGAACAGUGUGUAUCUCAUCUUUCACUCUUCAAUGCCCUUUAUAUUGGUUCAAUAUAAACCAAUAUAUAUUAUAUAGCCAAUUCAAUAUUUUUAUUUAUAUUAUUAAUUUAUAUAAAUUGGAGUCAAUAAACAAACUUGCAGUUAUGUAUGUCUAACAGAAGUCUGGGAAGUCUGCACACCUCUUCAUGCCAUUCUUACCCAAUGCUCCUGUAUUUGAGCAUGGCCUUGCAGCAUUUAAAAAGUUCAAAAUUGUACAACCGUUCCAUUAAUUAAUUGAGUCUGUUUCCUGAGCUGCUUAUGCUAGAGACUUGCCUUUUAGCUGUAGUUCAGUCUGUACUUUUGUAAUCUGAGCUGCUAAUACAAUUUUUUUAACAAACUAAUAAAGAGAUAUACAAAAUAUUUUAGUUUCUUAUUGGUGUUAUCCUGACUUUCUGUGUUAAAUCACCUAGUAACUUACUGAUGUGGUUAAACAGAACUGCCAUCACCAUAAAUUCUGUUCUUACAUAAGAAUAUAGGGGAAAAAAUAUUCUUAAAUCAGACCUCUAUCUGGUGUAAAUUUGCAUAGUUUCUUCCAAAUUAAAAUCUCAAUUUUGUUUACUGUGGUUGAGAACUGGGUCUACUCUUGGCUUUGGCUGGAAAGAGUACAAAGGAAACUCAUUACUUCCAAGUUUCUUAUUGUGAAUAAAUAAUCGACAUUGAUCUAUGUUCAGUCACCUUGUAUACAUUAUUAAAUACUUGUUUACUAAACAACCGUUACUGUUUAAAAAAGAACAACCAAAAACUUCACUGAAAAAUACAUUAAAUCUCAGUAUAAAAUCAACCUAAGGAGUUUAGCAGUGAGGUGAGUGAAGUUCAUUUAAUUAAAAGAUUGCUAGAGGGGAGACAUUGGCAGAUCAAUUUUUUAAGUUUGUGGAAUUAUGCACUGAUAUGCAAGUUUAAAGUUACUGCAUCUGAUUGCAGAAUAUAACAAAUGGGAAACAUUAUAUAUUUAUGAAUCAUUCAAUAUCUUCCCCCUUUUUUUCAACUGGCUUAUUGGAAAAUUAAAAAAAAAAUCCAUUUGAUGUUGUGACAGCCAGACUUAAAUAGACAUUACCAAAAUAUAUAUGAGAAAGUGUUAACUUACAUUUCAACAUGAAAUUCUAAUUCAAAAUUCCACACAGUGGGAAACCAAGGAGUAAGUUUUAUUGCCUGAAGACAUGCAGAAACUGCUUUAUAGGAAAUUGUCUUUUUGAUAACGGACACUAACUGAUUAUA
Molecule: long non-coding RNA, 8515 nt
Organism: Colius striatus (speckled mousebird)
Lineage: Eukaryota; Metazoa; Chordata; Aves; Coliiformes; Coliidae
Exons: 7
Source: RefSeq, a predicted model, not a curated record